AAUUUGCAAGGAUCUUGUCAGUCAAAUCAAGCAAGCAGAAGCUGCUGCAACUAGCUACUCCCGAGAUCUUCAAUCUUCAAAAUCUCAGGUGCAUGAUUUGGAGAAAAAGGUAGACAUGAUUGAAGUUGAGCGGAAUAUCUUGGAGCAGAGAGUAAAGGAACUUCAAGAUCAGCAAACCAGAUCAACAGAGUUACAGGAGAAAGUU
Molecule: unclassified non-coding RNA, 205 nt
Filed under: Hevea brasiliensis (rubber tree)
Lineage: Eukaryota; Viridiplantae; Streptophyta; Magnoliopsida; Malpighiales; Euphorbiaceae
Source: RNAcentral